CUGCGAAAUCAGCUGUGUUGAGUUGAGUCUGUUUCUGCUGCCCGCGCUGGUUCGUUCGUGUUGUUCAGCUGCAUUUUGGACUGCAUUUCUGUUGCUUGGAGUGCAGUUCUGGCUCUGGGGAUCCAGCGAUGACCGCAGACGGAUUCUUAACGUUGGGCUUCUUAGGGGCGGCAGUCCAACCCGUCCGAUUGCCCUUUAUUGCACUUUAUUUGUAAUGUUGGUACCACUGCGUGAUUUUGACAUUUCGGGCGUUCACCAUUCGUAACGCCAUCUUCGCUUAAAAAUCUGGAUAGGACUCGAUCUACAACACUGUCACCUGGGCCAACAAGGUACGCCGUCAACUACACUCUCGCACACGAAACGCUUUCAAUAAUUAGAACUGAAUCUACAAACGCUGGCAAUAAAUUUCACCUUCU
Long non-coding RNA from Culex quinquefasciatus (southern house mosquito), 416 nucleotides. RefSeq lists it as uncharacterized. The transcript has 3 exons. NCBI's taxonomy places the organism in Eukaryota, Metazoa, Arthropoda, Insecta, Diptera, Culicidae. The record is from RefSeq and is a predicted model, not a curated record.